Molecule: long non-coding RNA, 1215 nt
Organism: Rattus norvegicus (Norway rat)
Lineage: Eukaryota; Metazoa; Chordata; Mammalia; Rodentia; Muridae
Source: RefSeq, a predicted model, not a curated record
AUCAUACCUGUCCAUCGUCUGCAUCCAGACUCUCCAUCCAUAGCUGUCUGUCCCCUUCAUCCAGAUUUUUCAACCCUUAGCUGUCCAACCUCUGCAUCCAGACUCUCCGAAUGGGCAGGGACUAUUCAGUUUGUACAGUUGGAUUCUGUUCCGUUGUGUGAACGGCUUCUGGAAGGAAAGGAGGAAGGAAAAUUUAAAAGAAACAAAAAGGAAAAGCAGAAAGGAAAAAUGAAUAAAUCAGUAAAGAAAAAAGAAAAGAAUAUAAAACAGAACCGAAAGGAAGAGAAAAAUGACUGAAAAAAAAUUGCAGCAUUUAUUUUUGGGGACCUUACUGUCUCCAUUGUAUCCGUUAUUUACUUUGAUACUGUCAAAUGCCAGAAAUAGAUUUCUCUCUGAUUCGUUUGAUAAAUUUGACCCAAGAUUUCCAUUUGGAGUGACUGGAGUUCCUACUGUUUUUCUGCGUGUUGGUGGGCCAAGGCCUAAUCACCUCGAGGCCCCAUAGAGGCCAUAAAUUACCACGAUGAGCACUUCAAGCUGGAGAUGCCAGUGUUUGCUGGUCACGUGGGAAUAAUCUCAUCUCAAGGCACCAACAAAGUUAUGUGGAAGCCAGUAAGAUGAGACAUGUUGGUACCUAACCACAGAGACUUCUCUUAGCUUAUGAAUUUGUUUAUCUAUUUAUUGAUUGAUUGAUAAUCUUCACACCAGUGAUUACAGAUCACAGUAUUACAGUAUGUGGGUUAAUAAAUUGUUUCCAAAUGGGGUGCUUGUUCUGUUCUAGCAUGUGACCCCAGGAUCCUGAUCAGGAAGAAAGACUCUGCCGGAAACCAGUACACUCAGACUUCUAUGACUGUUAAUGAAAUAAGAUCCUUGUCUUUCUAAAUACUUACCUAGUCUCUACUGAUUAGCUGUAGAAAAAGGAAACAGAGCAAAGGCACAAUGAUAUUUGGCAUAGAAGUAAGUAGCACGGACUUUAUAGUUUUUGACCUGGCUAUGGUGGAUAUCAGUAAUCUACUCAGAUCCAUCAUAAAUGUGGGGUCAUAGUUCAAUGCCGCGGACAUUGAAAAUGCAGAGGGAAGCCUCUGGGCCACUUGGCUCAGGCAUCCCCUGUUUGGCUCUCAACCAUUUUGCACCUUCCAUGGCUCUGCCUCACUUCCAUUCCUGCCAGAACUCUGUGUCCUCCUCAGACUCUAAUAAAGUUUGCCUUGCCCCGUGCUA